RNAcentral lists this ribosomal RNA (465 nucleotides) under uncultured bacterium. RNAcentral describes it as "bacterial SSU rRNA". It matches the Rfam family "Bacterial small subunit ribosomal RNA", at positions 330 to 792 of the family's 1533-position model. The record is from RNAcentral.
ACCAGACUCCUACGGGAGGCAGCAGUGAGGAAUAUUGGUCAAUGGGCGGGAGCCUGAACCAGCCAAGUCGCGUGAGGGAAGACGGUCCUACGGAUUGUAAACCUCUUUUGCCGGGGAGCAACGGGGUCCUUGCGAGGGCCCAAUGAGAGUACCCGGAGAAAAAGCAUCGGCUAACUCCGUGCCAGCAGCCGCGGUAAUACGGAGGAUGCGAGCGUUAUCCGGAUUUAUUGGGUUUAAAGGGUGCGCAGGCGGAUUUUUAAGUCAGCGGUCAAAUCGUGGGGCUCAACCCCAUCCAGCCGUUGAAACUGGGGAUCUAGAGUGUGCGAGAGGUAUGCGGAAUGCGUGGUGUAGCGGUGAAAUGCAUAGAUAUCGCGCAGAACUCCGAUUGCGAAGGCAGCAUGCCGGCUCCACACUGACGCUGAGGCACGAAAGCGUGGGUAUCGAACAGGAUUAGAUACCCGAGUA